GUUCGUGAUGCUACUCACUUUUAAGUUUUCUAUAAAGUGUUUUAUGGUGGAUUUUUUAGCAUGGUGUUUCUUCGACUGGUAUCUUCCAUUUCUUUUUUGUCAAGUUACGAAUUGGAUAUUGCAACAAACAAAAACAUACAUUAAUAAAUUUAUCAAUAAACCAGUUGUUGGCAUGACACGGGUUAUGUUCUUCUCAUAUAUGUUAUGAUGGUAUGAUACUAAACCCCUCACGGGGAGGAUUGUGCCUGAUAUUCAUAUGAUGAAGACAUAAUUUUUCAAUCAGUUUAAUUGAAGUCCGGAGCUGGCAGAACACUCACAGAAUCGAUUUUUAAGUCAUCUAUCGAGAGACGAACUUAAAAUUAAUCUAUAUUCGACGAUUAUCUGUCUUUUAGUUUAUGGAAUGUACAAGUACCCGUUCACGUCCAUUUUGUGUUUUUGUAAUAUGUAUUUCUAUUUGUAUCCAUCUGAUGAGUUAAACCUUUUUGAAUUGAUUUUCACUGUUUGUUUUUAAGUUGUACUGUUAUACCCAUGUCCUAUGUGAGGGGAGAGUGGAGCUCUCACAAACGAGUUAAACCCCGCUAUAUUUUUAAUGUGCCUGUCCCAAGUCAAGAGCCUGUUGGUUUUCAUUGAAUCAUGUCUGUCAUAUUUUUUUUUCGUAUUUCGUAAGCUGUUUCUUUUAUUAUAAAUUCGGCCAUUAGUUAUUCUCAAUUGAAUUGUUUCGUAUUUUUUUUAUAUGUCGGAACCUUUUAAAGCCGACCAUACGGUAUAGGGUUUUCUCAUUGUUGUAGGCCAUACGGUUUUCUAUAAUUGCUUUCAUCCACUUCUUUAUAUUUUUCGAACUUAUUUAAAUUUUUUACUGAAUCAAUAGAUCUAAACUUUUACAGGAUUUUCUCACUUUACAUACGUUUUUUUUAAUGAUAGCAUCAAACGGAUUAAGAUUUAUCAUUUUCCAUUUUUACCUAGUAUCUCUGUUAUUUGAUAUUCAGUUGACUUUAAAAUUUAUUUAUAAAGUAUUUGCAUUAAAGUUAAACGUAGUUUUACAAAAGGAUGAUUUAGGAUUAAAACGCCUACUGUUACGGAAUUAAUUGAGAUUCUUUUAUCAUUAAUAUGUUAAUUACGUAGCAUGAUUGAUUCUUGAG
RNAcentral lists this long non-coding RNA (1139 nucleotides) under Mytilus galloprovincialis (Mediterranean mussel). The record is from RNAcentral. Lineage: Eukaryota; Metazoa; Mollusca; Bivalvia; Mytilida; Mytilidae.